UACGAAGGGGGCUAGCGUUGUUCGGAAUUACUGGGCGUAAAGGGCGCGUAGGCUGUUUGGUAAGUUAGAGGUGAAAGCCCAGGGCUCAACCCUGGAAUUGCCUUUAAGACUGCUAGACUUGAGGCCGAGAGAGGUGAGUGGAAUUCCCAGUGUAGAGGUGAAAUUCGUAGAUAUUGGGAAGAACACCAGUGGCGAAGGCGGCUCACUGGCUCGGUUCUGACGCUGAGGCGCGAAAGCGUGGGGAGCAAACAGG
This 253-nucleotide ribosomal RNA is filed under the name uncultured bacterium. RNAcentral's name for it is "partial 16S ribosomal RNA". It matches the Rfam family "Bacterial small subunit ribosomal RNA", at positions 524 to 776 of the family's 1533-position model. The record is from RNAcentral.